RNAcentral lists this long non-coding RNA (222 nucleotides) under Coturnix japonica (Japanese quail). RNAcentral describes it as "lncRNA (ENSCJPG00005006672.1)". The record is from RNAcentral. Lineage: Eukaryota; Metazoa; Chordata; Aves; Galliformes; Phasianidae.
AUGUCCCUAUAAUGGCGGCCAUAUUGGACCAGGAUGUCCCCAACAUGGCGGCCAAUGAAGAUAAAGAUGUCCCCAACACGGCGGCCAUAUUGGACCAGGAAGUGUCCAACAGAGCGGCCAUAUUAGACCAGGAUGUCCCCAUCAUGGCGGCCAUAUUGGACCAAGAUGUCCCCAAUAUGGCGGACAUUGAGGACAAAGAUGUCCCCAUCAUGGCGGCCAAUG